Molecule: RNA transcript, 1405 nt
Organism: Pecten maximus
Lineage: Eukaryota; Metazoa; Mollusca; Bivalvia; Pectinida; Pectinidae
Exons: 3
Source: RefSeq, a predicted model, not a curated record
UUUCCACUGGUUUAAUUAACUCUUUACCACUCAUAAGCGUGUCUUGACGCAUGUCCGUAAUUUCCGCAAAAGCGUGUCUGGACGCACGCAUCGUAUUUACUCACAAGUGACCGAGGACGCAUCACCAUCUUUUCCUCAGAAGCGUGUUUCCCCGUGUACCUAUUUUUAAACCGGAUAUCUCGGUCACUGGCCAUGACUCGUGUGAAGGACGCAUACUUGCGUGUAGCUCUGUGAUUGGUCAAUAAAAUUAGAAACUUUUUAUAGUUCAACACUUUGACCUUGUGACGUAAUUCAGUCAGGAAAUACUACAUGUCAAGUUGUAAAAGCUUGCGUAGCAACAUAAUGGCGGCCGAGUCGGGAAUGGAUUCGGGCGUCGAAAUAGAGGCGUUUUUCGACUCGGAUGACUUGGAAUCAGACAGAUUUGAAGGGUUUUCAAAUCGGGGAUUCUGACAUUGAAAGUGACGUGGUUUUCAGUAGUGAUAGUGAAUCGGGUGGCAACGACAGCGACGAUGCGAACACAGAUGCGUUUGACCCAACACAUUGGUACGGGGAUCAACAUGGCGAACUUCACGAUGUGAUAAUACGUGCUUUCAAUCAGGAAACAGGACCAGUAUUACCAGUUGGAUUUGACAUCAAUACUGCAACGCCAAAAGAAUACUUUGAUCUUGUAUUUAAACCUGAAAUUGUCACGGACAUUGUAAACUUUACCAAUGACUACGCCAGGUGGAAAUGUGAAAAAAGCGCCGAGAAGAUCCUAUUUGGUACGAGGUUACUGAAAAUGAAAUAUGUGCUUAUCUUGGUAUGCUCAUAUUUAUGGGCGUGAAUCAGAUGCCCUCAUACAAAGACUUUUGGUCUAAAGAUACUUUUUAGGAAAAGAUGGUAUCAAAUCUGUAAUGACGGUUAAAAUAUAUGAGAAAAUUACUGAGUAUUUCCAUGUGAGUGACAGAAGAGGAGAAGACAAUCAGACUGCAGACAAACUUUACAAAGUGAGACAAGUUAAUCGGAGUACGGAUCUAUAGAUUUGUUGUACAGAUCUAUACAAUGAUACAUGUAAUAACAAUAAGCAGCUCCUCGUUCAAGGAAGGCCCAACGUUAGAAUCAGCAAGCAGCAACUUGAAGCGGUAUUGAGGAAAAGUGGGGGUAGUCCCACCUACUUAGCCAGGCAUUUGCUAAUGGUCUUCUUUGACCAGGACACCUUAGCAAAGAGUUGUGCCAGAGGGACUAGUAAUCGGCCAGCUCUAGACAAAGAGAUUUUGAGCGCAAUACUGGAGUAAUGUGAUGACAAAAUAUCCACAAGUGGGCGAAAGAACACUUAUUCAAGCUGUAAAUGGAAAGUGCUCAGAUUUGAGGAUGACCCUUAAACUGAAGUGACUGUGCACAUGACUGAUGCCACUUUUGUGUUUGC